CCUACGGGUGGCAGCAGUGGGGAAUAUUGGGCAAUGGGCGGAAGCCUGACCCAGCGACGCCGCGUGAAGGAUGAAGGCCUUCGGGUUGUAAACUUCUUUGGAUGGGGACGAAGAAGUGACGGUACCCAUCGAACAAGCCACGGCUAACUACGUGCCAGCAGCCGCGGUAAUACGUAGGUGGCAAGCGUUGUCCGGAUUUACUGGGUGUAAAGGGCGCGUAGGCGGGAAUGCAAGUCAGAUGUGAAAUCCAUGGGCUCAACCCAUGAACUGCAUUUGAAACUGUGUUUCUUGAGUGAUGGAGAGGCAGGCGGAAUUCCUAGUGUAGCGGUGAAAUGCGUAGAUAUUAGGAGGAACACCAGUGGCGAAGGCGGCCUGCUGGACAUCAACUGACGCUGAUGCGCGAAAGCGCGGGGAGCAAACAGGAUUAGAUACCCCUGUAG
This 440-nucleotide ribosomal RNA is filed under the name uncultured bacterium. RNAcentral describes it as "bacterial SSU rRNA". It matches the Rfam family "Bacterial small subunit ribosomal RNA", at positions 338 to 793 of the family's 1533-position model. The record is from RNAcentral.